This 254-nucleotide unclassified non-coding RNA is filed under the name uncultured fungus. Its description in RNAcentral is "partial contains 5.8S ribosomal RNA, internal transcribed spacer 2, and large subunit ribosomal RNA". Lineage: Eukaryota; Fungi. The record is from RNAcentral.
AACGCACAUUGCGCCCAUCAGCAUUCUGGUGGGCAUGCCUGUUCGAGCGUCAUUUCAACCCUUAAGCCCUUGUUGCUUAGCGUUGGGAGCCUACGGCCUGCCCGUAGCUCCUGGAAGACAGUGGCGGAGUCGGUCUCGUACCCCGGACGUAGUAGUCUACAAUCUCGUCCGCCGGUCGGGCUGGCGCCCAGCCGUAAAACAACCCCAAUCCAAAGGUUGACCUCGGAUCAGGUAGGAAUACCCGCUGAACUUAA